RNAcentral lists this long non-coding RNA (1488 nucleotides) under Helianthus annuus (common sunflower). Its description in RNAcentral is "hypothetical non coding rna". Lineage: Eukaryota; Viridiplantae; Streptophyta; Magnoliopsida; Asterales; Asteraceae. The record is from RNAcentral.
GCUCGAGAUGUUGAAAAACCGAGGUGUGACACUGGAAUUCAAUUCCAGCUUCGUUUUUACUCUUUAUUUUUGCUGGAUUGCAAAAGUUAACUCCUGAACUUGUUCUUGAAGGGACUUCAUUUUCUGCAUCAGUUAGAACAACUUCGUCUAAUGGUUGUGAAUUUUAUAUAUUAACAAUUGAUGAAAGCUCUUAACAACAGUAUCAGUUUCCCGGUUUCAUAUGACCGGCAUCUUCCGGUCUUCACCACCUCUGCAUAACCCAUCUCCAAACUCAAAACACAGCCCCCAGACGUCGAUUCUUAGGAACAGUAUCCUCAUCUCAGCCGCUGCUUUCUGAUCCAACGUCCACUAUGUGUUCGCCUCUUCUUCCUGGCCGGCCGGUGUUAAAGCUUCUGUGGCAAUCGAAAAGGAUUCAGGUACCGCACGCUAGGGUUUAGUGUUGCUGCUUUUACCCACCCGCCACAAUCGACCUCUUAGGUUUGCCUCUGUAAAUCGUAGGUGGAGAUGGUGUUGGGUUAGGUUAGGGUUUCGCAGGUGGCGAGCGAUGGUGAUUGUGGAACGCCUGUCUGCAUCUUCCACCUCCACCGUCAACAUCCGCCUCCACACUCACACCUCUGAUAAGGCUAAUUUUCCUUAAGAGAAGAAAUUGGUUGCUGUUGAUGAUUUUGAGAACCAUGAUAGGUAAUGGUGCUAUUGGUGAGGUAUGGUUACAAUUUCCAUCCCUUUAGAUGUUUUUUUUAUGCUAGAUGUAUUUCGCAACUCUAAAUGUUACUAGCAGUAGUAUUUAAUAUAAAAAAACAACAGCCAAUGUAUAUGUCAAUGGUUACAACUCUGGAUGUCUGGUUAUUCUCAUUAUACAACUUCCCCAAAGAUGCAUCUUAGGUUUAUCGACAGCAACUACCUCUAAUAAGUUAAAAGUUGAUGGAUAAAGAAAGAAGAAGGAUAUGAAAUUAGUAACCCACAAUAGAUAGUGUAACCAACCAUGGAACACUUUGCAGCUGCCAUAACUACUUUAUAUUAAUGUUUGAAUCUGAAAUAUGACUAUUUGGUAAUCAAAUAAAAAAAGUAACAUAUUUAUCGUAUAUUUUGCCAACUAAUGAAUGUUGUUGCUUCUUUUGUUGCAGUGAGCAACAAACAUGUUACUAGAUCAAUCAAUGUAUAAACAUUGAAGGAUUUUUGGCUCUGAUACCAAAUGAUAAGAAUCAGAGUACACAACUCGUAAAAAAUUGAAAUCAAAUCAAACGAAUAUACUAUAGGUUUAAAGAGUUAAAAAACACCACUUGAUUAAUCCGUAGGAUAGUUUAAUAUGUGUUUAUGAUACAUGACUCACCACCUAAAUUUGUAAUUAGAUUCCAAAGAAGAACACUUAAGUGGUCAAACUUGAGUUAGCACUUAAGUGGCCAAACUUGAGCUAGCAAUAGAAACCUGGUAACUCAUUAAAUGAUAUAAAACAGAAAAUAAUAAUAUUUAAAAACCCGUUGGCUUUUU